UGGGGAAUAUUGCACAAUGGGCGCAAGCCUGAUGCAGCCAUGCCGCGUGUGUGAAGAAGGCCUUCGGGUUGUAAAGCACUUUCAGCGAGGAGGAAGGUGGUGAGCUUAAUACGCUCAUCAAUUGACGUUACUCGCAGAAGAAGCACCGGCUAACUCCGUGCCAGCAGCCGCGGUAAUACGGAGGGUGCAAGCGUUAAUCGGAAUUACUGGGCGUAAAGCGCACGCAGGCGGUUUGUUAAGUCAGAUGUGAAAUCCCCGGGCUCAACCUGGGAACUGCAUUUGAAACUGGCAAGCUAGAGUCUCGUAGAGGGGGGUAGAAUUCCAGGUGUAGCGGUGAAAUGCGUAGAGAUCUGGAGGAAUACCGGUGGCGAAGGCGGCCCCCUGGACGAAGACUGACGCUCAGGUGCGAAAGCGUGGGGCAGCAAACAGGAUUAGAUACCCUGGUAGUCCACGCUGUAAACGAUGUCGAUUUGGAGGUUGUGCCCUUGAGGCGUGGCUUCCGGAGCUAACGCGUUAAAUCGACCGCCUGGGGAGUACGGCCGCAAGGUUAAAACUUAAAUGAAUUGC
Molecule: ribosomal RNA, 567 nt
Filed under: uncultured bacterium
Lineage: Bacteria
Description: partial 16S ribosomal RNA
Rfam family: Bacterial small subunit ribosomal RNA
Source: RNAcentral